This 409-nucleotide ribosomal RNA is filed under the name uncultured bacterium. Its description in RNAcentral is "bacterial SSU rRNA". It matches the Rfam family "Bacterial small subunit ribosomal RNA", at positions 8 to 419 of the family's 1533-position model. The record is from RNAcentral.
AGAGUUUGAUCAUGGCUCAGAUUGAACGCUGGCGGCAUGCCUUACACAUGCAAGUCGAACGGUAACAGGGAGCUUGCUCCGCUGACGAGUGGCGAACGGGUGAGUAAUGUAUCGGAACGUACCAUUGAGUGGGGGAUAACGUAGCGAAAGUUACGCUAAUACCGCAUAUUCUGUGAGCAGGAAAGCAGGGGAUCGCAAGACCUUGCGCUUUCGGAGCGGCCGAUGUCGGAUUAGCUAGUUGGUGAGGUAAAAGCUCACCAAGGCGACGAUCCGUAGCUGGUCUUAGAGGAUGAUCAGCCACACUGGGACUGAGACACGGCCCAGACUCCUACGGGAGGCAGCAGUGGGGAAUUUUGGACAAUGGGGGAAACCCUGAUCCAGCCAUGCCGCGUGAGUGAAGAAGGCCUUC